GGCCUUUUGAUAUUUAUUUAAGGUCUGACCUGCCCACUGAUUUUUAAAUGGCCGCAGUACUCUAACUGUGCAAAGGUAGCAUAAUAAUUAGUCUUUUAAUUGAAGGCUGGAAUGAAUGGUUGGACGAAAUAUUAACUGUUUCAUUUAAAUUUGCAGUAGAAUUUUAUUUUUCAGUCAAAAAGCUGAAAUGUUUUUAAAAGACGAGAAGACCCUAUAAAUCUUUACAUUAGCAAUAUAGUGCUUGGUAAGAAGAAUUGUGGCAUUAUAUUUUAUAGUGUUUUAUUGGGGUGAUAUUAAAAUUUAAAAAACUUUUAACUCUAUAAACAUUUAUUUAUGAAAUUUUGAUCCGUGAAAACGAUUAAUAAGCUAAGUUACUUUAGGGAUAACAGCGUAAUUUUCUUGGAGAGUUCAUAUCGAUAAGAAAGAUUGCGACCUCGAUGUUGGAUUAAGGAAUAAGUUUAGGCGCAGCUGUUUAAAUGAUAAGUCUGUUCGACUUUUAAACCCUU
Molecule: ribosomal RNA, 506 nt
Filed under: Tetanocera hyalipennis
Lineage: Eukaryota; Metazoa; Arthropoda; Insecta; Diptera; Sciomyzidae
Description: partial 16S ribosomal RNA
Rfam family: Bacterial large subunit ribosomal RNA
Source: RNAcentral